AUACGGAGGAUGCGAGCGUUAUCCGGAUUUAUUGGGUUUAAAGGGAGCGUAGGUGGGAUAUUAAGUCAGCUGUGAAAGUUUGGGGCUCAACCUUAAAAUUGCAGUUGAUACUGGUUUCCUUGAGUACGGUACAGGUGGGCGGAAUUCGUGGUGUAGCGGUGAAAUGCUUAGAUAUCACGAAGAACUCCGAUCGCGAAGGCAGCUCACCGGGCCGGAACUGACACUGAUGCUCGAAAGUGCGGGUAUCAAACAGGAUUAGAUACCCUGGUAGUCCGCACAGUAAACGAUGAAUACUCGCUGUUUGCGAUACACUGUAAGCGGCCAAGCGAAAGCGUUAAGUAUUCCACCUGGGGAGUACGCCGGCAACGGUGAAACUCAAAUGAAUUGACGGGG
RNAcentral lists this ribosomal RNA (393 nucleotides) under uncultured bacterium. RNAcentral's name for it is "partial 16S ribosomal RNA". It matches the Rfam family "Bacterial small subunit ribosomal RNA", at positions 523 to 918 of the family's 1533-position model. The record is from RNAcentral.